Molecule: transfer RNA, 69 nt
Filed under: Pseudolabrus eoethinus
Lineage: Eukaryota; Metazoa; Chordata; Actinopteri; Labriformes; Labridae
Description: tRNA-Ala
Rfam family: tRNA
About the family: Transfer RNA (tRNA) molecules are approximately 80 nucleotides in length.
Source: RNAcentral
AAGGCUUUAGCUUAAUUAAAGCAUCUGUUUUGCAUGCAGAAGAUGUGGGGUAGUGUCCUGCAAGUCUUA